This 253-nucleotide ribosomal RNA is filed under the name uncultured bacterium. RNAcentral's name for it is "partial 16S ribosomal RNA". It matches the Rfam family "Bacterial small subunit ribosomal RNA", at positions 524 to 776 of the family's 1533-position model. The record is from RNAcentral.
UACGUAGGAGACGAGCGUUGUCCGGAGUUACUGGGCGUAAAGGGUGCGCAGGUGGUUGUGCGCGUGGGGGGUGAAAUCGCCCGGCUUAACUGGGCGGGGGCCUUCCAGACGGCAUGACUUGAGCAGCGGAGGGGGACGUGGAAUUCCGGGUGGAGCGGUGAAAUGCGCAGAUAUCAGGAAGAACACCCGUGGCUAAGGCGGCUCUCUAGUACGGUACUGACGCUGAGACGCGAAAGCGUGGGGAGCGAACAGG